GUUAUAAGUGGACCAGUCCCUAACAUAUUCUCUAAAUAUAUAGUAUCUUUAGGAAAUGUUGGAAAUAUCAUUACCAAUAAACCAAGUAUUUUACAAUUUUAUUUUGGAUAUAAGCAGUUCUAAAAACUUAUAUUUUGAAUUUGCCAUUUGCAAUGAUUAUAGAAAUGACAGUUUAUCACGUCAUCCCAUAAGUAAUGUUUUUUUUCUUAUGUUCCACAGAACUAUUGCUUCUGGCAACUGGAUAAUGAUGUACACCAAGGUCAUGAUAAGAUGCUGUUCAUGGCACAGCAUGCUCUUCAUGUAAUGUGAGGCGAGAAUAAUAGUUGUACAUGUAUCCCUUGUGCCAUUAAAGUUUAUAGAAAAUAGUGGUGUCUGAAGAGUACAUAAGGCAUAUUAUACUGUAUGAGUUUAAACAAGGGCAAACAGUUACCAUAGUGACAC
RNAcentral lists this long non-coding RNA (441 nucleotides) under Androctonus crassicauda. The record is from RNAcentral. Lineage: Eukaryota; Metazoa; Arthropoda; Arachnida; Scorpiones; Buthidae.